Molecule: ribosomal RNA, 253 nt
Filed under: uncultured bacterium
Lineage: Bacteria
Description: partial 16S ribosomal RNA
Rfam family: Bacterial small subunit ribosomal RNA
Source: RNAcentral
UACGAAGGGUGCAAGCGUUACUCGGAAUUACUGGGCGUAAAGGGUGCGUAGGUGGUCGUUUAAGUCCGUUGUGAAAUCCCUGGGCUCAACCUGGGAAUGGCAGUGGGUACUGGACGGCUAGAAUGCGGUAGAGGGUAGUGGAAUUCCCGGUGUAGCAGUGAAAUGCGUAGAGAUCGGGAGGAACACCAGUGGCGAAGGCGGCGAUCUGGGAAGAUACUGACGCUGAGGUGCGAAAGCGUGGGGAGCAAACAGG